This 1540-nucleotide ribosomal RNA is filed under the name Klebsiella pneumoniae. RNAcentral describes it as "bacterial SSU rRNA". It matches the Rfam family "Bacterial small subunit ribosomal RNA". The record is from RNAcentral. Lineage: Bacteria; Pseudomonadati; Pseudomonadota; Gammaproteobacteria; Enterobacterales; Enterobacteriaceae.
AAAUUGAAGAGUUUGAUCAUGGCUCAGAUUGAACGCUGGCGGCAGGCCUAACACAUGCAAGUCGAGCGGUAGCACAGAGAGCUUGCUCUCGGGUGACGAGCGGCGGACGGGUGAGUAAUGUCUGGGAAACUGCCUGAUGGAGGGGGAUAACUACUGGAAACGGUAGCUAAUACCGCAUAAUGUCGCAAGACCAAAGUGGGGGACCUUCGGGCCUCAUGCCAUCAGAUGUGCCCAGAUGGGAUUAGCUAGUAGGUGGGGUAACGGCUCACCUAGGCGACGAUCCCUAGCUGGUCUGAGAGGAUGACCAGCCACACUGGAACUGAGACACGGUCCAGACUCCUACGGGAGGCAGCAGUGGGGAAUAUUGCACAAUGGGCGCAAGCCUGAUGCAGCCAUGCCGCGUGUGUGAAGAAGGCCUUCGGGUUGUAAAGCACUUUCAGCGGGGAGGAAGGCGUUAAGGUUAAUAACCUCAUCGAUUGACGUUACCCGCAGAAGAAGCACCGGCUAACUCCGUGCCAGCAGCCGCGGUAAUACGGAGGGUGCAAGCGUUAAUCGGAAUUACUGGGCGUAAAGCGCACGCAGGCGGUCUGUCAAGUCGGAUGUGAAAUCCCCGGGCUCAACCUGGGAACUGCAUUCGAAACUGGCAGGCUAGAGUCUUGUAGAGGGGGGUAGAAUUCCAGGUGUAGCGGUGAAAUGCGUAGAGAUCUGGAGGAAUACCGGUGGCGAAGGCGGCCCCCUGGACAAAGACUGACGCUCAGGUGCGAAAGCGUGGGGAGCAAACAGGAUUAGAUACCCUGGUAGUCCACGCCGUAAACGAUGUCGAUUUGGAGGUUGUGCCCUUGAGGCGUGGCUUCCGGAGCUAACGCGUUAAAUCGACCGCCUGGGGAGUACGGCCGCAAGGUUAAAACUCAAAUGAAUUGACGGGGGCCCGCACAAGCGGUGGAGCAUGUGGUUUAAUUCGAUGCAACGCGAAGAACCUUACCUGGUCUUGACAUCCACAGAACUUAGCAGAGAUGCUUUGGUGCCUUCGGGAACUGUGAGACAGGUGCUGCAUGGCUGUCGUCAGCUCGUGUUGUGAAAUGUUGGGUUAAGUCCCGCAACGAGCGCAACCCUUAUCCUUUGUUGCCAGCGGUCCGGCCGGGAACUCAAAGGAGACUGCCAGUGAUAAACUGGAGGAAGGUGGGGAUGACGUCAAGUCAUCAUGGCCCUUACGACCAGGGCUACACACGUGCUACAAUGGCAUAUACAAAGAGAAGCGACCUCGCGAGAGCAAGCGGACCUCAUAAAGUAUGUCGUAGUCCGGAUUGGAGUCUGCAACUCGACUCCAUGAAGUCGGAAUCGCUAGUAAUCGUAGAUCAGAAUGCUACGGUGAAUACGUUCCCGGGCCUUGUACACACCGCCCGUCACACCAUGGGAGUGGGUUGCAAAAGAAGUAGGUAGCUUAACCUUCGGGAGGGCGCUUACCACUUUGUGAUUCAUGACUGGGGUGAAGUCGUAACAAGGUAACCGUAGGGGAACCUGCGGUUGGAUCACCUCCUUA